RNAcentral lists this ribosomal RNA (433 nucleotides) under uncultured bacterium. RNAcentral's name for it is "partial 16S ribosomal RNA". It matches the Rfam family "Bacterial small subunit ribosomal RNA", at positions 29 to 507 of the family's 1533-position model. The record is from RNAcentral.
AACGAACGCUGGCGGCAGGCCUAACACAUGCAAGUCGAGCGGACCCUUCGGGGUUAGCGGCGGACGGGUGAGUAACGCGUGGGAAUAUGCCCUUCUCUACAGAAUAGUCCUGGGAAACUGGGGGUAAUACCGUAUACGCCCUUUGGGGGAAAGAUUUAUCGGGGAAGGAUUAGCCCGCGUUGGAUUAGGUAGUUGGUGGGGUAAUGGCCUACCAAGCCGACGAUCCAUAGCUGGUUUGAGAGGAUGAUCAGCCACACUGGGACUGAGACACGGCCCAGACUCCUACGGGAGGCAGCAGUGGGGAAUCUUAGACAAUGGGGGCAACCCUGAUCUAGCCAUGCCGCGUGAGUGAUGAAGGCCUUAGGGUUGUAAAGCUCUUUCAGCUGGGAAGAUAAUGACGGUACCAGCAGAAGAAGCCCCGGCUAACUCCGUG